CUCGUAGGCGGACUCUUAAGUCGGGGGUGAAAGCCCAGGGCUCAACCCUGGAAUUGCCUUCGAUACUGAGAGUCUUGAGUUCGGAAGAGGUUGGUGGAACUGCGAGUGUAGAGGUGAAAUUCGUAGAUAUUCGCAAGAACACCAGUGGCGAAGGCGGCCAACUGGUCCGAUACUGACGCUGAGGCGCGAAAGCGUGGGGAGCAAACA
This 207-nucleotide ribosomal RNA is filed under the name uncultured bacterium. RNAcentral's name for it is "partial 16S ribosomal RNA". It matches the Rfam family "Bacterial small subunit ribosomal RNA", at positions 568 to 774 of the family's 1533-position model. The record is from RNAcentral.